GAAUCUUGCAGAAUCUGAUCAU
Molecule: microRNA, 22 nt
Filed under: Pteropus alecto (black flying fox)
Lineage: Eukaryota; Metazoa; Chordata; Mammalia; Chiroptera; Pteropodidae
Description: pal-miR-10019-3p
Source: miRBase by way of RNAcentral